CGGCGGACGGGUGAGUAACGCGUGGGUAACCUGCCUCAUACAGGGGGAUAACAGUUGGAAACGGCUGCUAAUACCGCAUAAGCGCACCGUACCGCAUGGUACGGUGUGAAAAACUCCGGUGGUAUGAGAUGGACCCGCGUCUGAUUAGGUAGUUGGUGGGGUAACGGCCUACCAAGCCGACGAUCAGUAGCCGACCUGAGAGGGUGACCGGCCACAUUGGGACUGAGACACGGCCCAA
This 238-nucleotide ribosomal RNA is filed under the name uncultured bacterium. RNAcentral's name for it is "partial 16S ribosomal RNA". It matches the Rfam family "Bacterial small subunit ribosomal RNA", at positions 96 to 334 of the family's 1533-position model. The record is from RNAcentral.